GUAGUCCACGCCGUAAACGAUGAGUGCUAAGUGUUAGAGGGUUUCCGCCCUUUAGUGCUGCAGCAAACGCAUUAAGCACUCCGCCUGGGGAGUACGGUCGCAAGACUGAAACUCAAAGGAAUUGACGGGGGCCCGCACAAGCGGUGGAGCAUGUGGUUUAAUUCGAAGCAACCCGAAGAACCUUACCAGGUCUUGACAUCCUCUGACAACCCUAGAGAUAGGGCGUUCCCCUUCGGGGGACAGAGUGACAGGUGGUGCAUGGUUGUCGUCAGCUCGUGUCGUGAGAUGUUGGGUUAAGUCCCGCAACGAGCGCAACCCUUGAUCUUAGUUGCCAGCAUUCAGUUGGGCACUCUAAGGUGACUGCCGGUGACAAACCGGAGGAAGGUGGGGAUGACGUCAAAUCAUCAUGCCCCUUAUGACCUGGGCUACACACGUGCUACAAUGGAUGGUACAAAGGGCUGCAAAACCGCGAGGUUGAGCGAAUCCCAUAAAACCAUUCUCAGUUCGGAUUGCAGGCUGCAACUCGCCUGCAUGAAGCUGGAAUCGCUAGUAAUCGCGGAUCAGCAUGCCGCGGUGAAUA
This 580-nucleotide ribosomal RNA is filed under the name uncultured Bacillus sp. Its description in RNAcentral is "bacterial SSU rRNA". It matches the Rfam family "Bacterial small subunit ribosomal RNA", at positions 790 to 1368 of the family's 1533-position model. The record is from RNAcentral. Lineage: Bacteria; Bacillati; Bacillota; Bacilli; Caryophanales; Bacillaceae.